GCAGUGGUGGUUUGGUGGUAGAAGUCUCCCUUUCCGUGUGGGAGACUCAGGUUCGAUUCCUGGCCUGUGCA
This 71-nucleotide transfer RNA is filed under the name Loxodonta africana (African savanna elephant). It matches the Rfam family "tRNA". From Rfam's summary of the family: Transfer RNA (tRNA) molecules are approximately 80 nucleotides in length. Their secondary structure includes four short double-helical elements and three loops (D, anti-codon, and T loops). Further hydrogen bonds mediate the characteristic L-shaped molecular structure. tRNAs have two regions of fundamental functional importance: the anti-codon, which is responsible for specific mRNA codon recognition, and the 3' end, to which the tRNAs corresponding amino acid is attached (by aminoacyl-tRNA synthetases). tRNAs cope with the degeneracy of the genetic code in two manners: having more than one tRNA (with a specific anti-codon) for a particular amino acid; and 'wobble' base-pairing, i.e. permitting non-standard base-pairing at the 3rd anti-codon position. Lineage: Eukaryota; Metazoa; Chordata; Mammalia; Proboscidea; Elephantidae. The record is from Rfam by way of RNAcentral.